Molecule: long non-coding RNA, 214 nt
Filed under: Salvia miltiorrhiza (redroot sage)
Lineage: Eukaryota; Viridiplantae; Streptophyta; Magnoliopsida; Lamiales; Lamiaceae
Description: long non-coding RNA (SMIL_LNC012452)
Source: RNAcentral
ACAGAUAAGAUAUGAUCGUAGGCAAUCACAAUGACAACACUCCUUCUAGCAUCUACCGGACAAAUCACGUUUUACUAACUUACAAAAGUGUUGCAACAAAACUCAUAAUUCUUUGUACAAUCAGGAAACAUAUAUCAAAAGUAAAAUAAGAAUAACCACCAAACAAACACAAACCCGAAAUGCACAUUGAAAACCAUCUUCUCUUCCACAAAUU